This 467-nucleotide ribosomal RNA is filed under the name uncultured bacterium. Its description in RNAcentral is "partial 16S ribosomal RNA". It matches the Rfam family "Bacterial small subunit ribosomal RNA", at positions 28 to 506 of the family's 1533-position model. The record is from RNAcentral.
GACGAACGCUGGCGGCGUGCUUAACACAUGCAAGUCGAACGGAAAGGCCCUGCUUUUUUGGGGUGCUCGAGUGGCGAACGGGUGAGUAACACGUGAGUAACCUGCCCUUGACUUUGGGAUAACUUCAGGAAACUGGGGCUAAUACCGGAUAGCAGCUCCUGCUGCAUGGUGGGGGUUGGAACGUUUCGGCGGUUGGGGAUGGAUUCGCGGCUUAUCAGCUUGUUGGUGGGGUAGUGGCUUACCAAGGCAUUGACGGGCAGCCGGCCUGAGAGGGUGACCGGGCACAUAGGGAUAGGGAAAGGGCCCAGACGCAAAAGGGGGGCAGGAGUGGGGAAUAGUGCAAAAUGGGCGGAAGCGGUAAGCAGGAACGCCGGGUGGGAGAGGACGGCUUUCGGGUAGGAAACCGAUUUCGCCUGUAACGAGGCGUGAGGGAGGGAAAUGGAGAAAGAAGAACGACUAAAUUAUGG